CUGCGGCCUGCCCGUGGAGCCUGUCGUGGGGAGUGGAGCGACGUCCGUUGUCGCGACUUGCCAGAGGGUGGAGGAACUGUGCCGUAUCCAUCGCAGGAAGUGGAGCAGAAUCGUGGCCAUCACCAGGACAUGCCACGUGGGGAGUGAUGGAGCCGCGCAGAAUCCGUCACAGGAAGUGGAGCAGAGUUGUGGCUGUUACUGCAGCCUACCAGGGAGUGGUGGAGCCACGUGGAAUCUAUCGCAGGAAGUGGAGCAGAGUCGUGGCCGUUACUACGGCCUGUUAGGGAGUGGCGGAGCCGCACGGAAUCCAUCGCAGGAAGUGGAGCAGAGCUGUGGCCGCUACUGCGGCCUGCCAGGGGGUCCAGGCGUGUUGGCCAAAGUUCGAUUGAGGCGUCUGGCGGAGAAAGGUGGCUAGCUGUUCAUCAGAGAGGAGUUCGGAUGCUGCAAAUCCUGUUGAGUGCCUUGGGCGUUAAAGCGGCAGGCGAGGACCGCUUGUCGUAGAAGCUCGGAGUUCGGCCCCCAUAGGAGCCCGGACGAAGUCUUCCCGCAGCCGGAGUCAGGGACGAGAUCCGGCUCCCGUAGAAAUCCGGACGAAGUCUGCCCGCAAUUGAAGUCGGAGAUGAAGUUCGGCUCCCGUAGGAGUCCGGACGGAGUCCUCCUGCAGUCGAAGUAGCCCUGCUGUUGAAGUCGAGGACGAAGUCCGGCUCCCGUAGGAGUUCGAACGGAGUCUACCUGCAGUCGAAGUCGCCCUGUUGUUGAAGUCGGGGAUGAAUUCCGGCUCCCAUAGGAGUCCGGAUGGAGUCUACCUGCAGUCGAAGUCGCCCUGCUAUUGAAGUCGAGGAUGAAGUCCAGCUCCUGUAGGAGUCCGGAUGGAGUCUACCUGCGGUCGAAGUCGCCCUGCUGUUGAAGUCGAGGACGAAGUCCGGCUUCCGUAGGAGUCCAGACGGAGUCUACCUGCGGUCGAAGUCGCCCUGCUGUUGAAGUCGAGGAUGAAGUCCGGCUCCCGUAGGAGUCCGGACGGUGUCUACCUGCAGUCGAAGUCACCCUGCUGUUGAAAUCGAGGAUGAAGUCCGGCUUCCGUAGGAGUCCAGACGGAGUCUACCUGCGGUCGAAGUCGCCCUGCUGUUGAAGUCGAGGACGAAGUCUGGCUCCCGUAGGAGUCCGGACGGAGUCUACCUGCAGUCGAAGUCGGGGACAAAAUUUGGCUUCCGUGGGAGUCCGGACGGAGUCUACUGCAGUCGAAGUCGGGGAUGAAGUCCGACUCCCGUGGAAGUCCGGAAGGAGUCUACCUGUGGUUGAAGUCGAGGACGAAGUCCGGCUCCUGUAGGAGUCUGGACGGAGUCUACCUGCAGUCGAAGUUGCCCUGCUAUUGAAGUCGAGGAUGAAGUCCGGCUCCCGUAGGAGUCGGACGGAGUCUACCUGC
This 1423-nucleotide long non-coding RNA is filed under the name Elaeis guineensis (African oil palm). Its description in RNAcentral is "long non-coding RNA (EGUI_LNC064817)". Lineage: Eukaryota; Viridiplantae; Streptophyta; Magnoliopsida; Arecales; Arecaceae. The record is from RNAcentral.